UUUUCCCAGAAGGACAUUUUCAGUGCUGAACUUAUCCACACUGCAGGUCUGAAAAAGGGUGCCAGUCCCAGUUCUUGGUUGCCAGCAGCAGAGAAUUAGGCAGAAGAAACAUGUAAUAAAGGAUAUUAGGUAGGUCACAGACUCUUUGGGCCAGAACCCAGACUUGGAAGCCACAAAGGCUGAAAACCCACUCCCCUCCUCAUCCUUUGACCUCUACUCCAAGUUCCUAGGCUGGGAACUUGGGGAAAAUCUCUCAGGGAAAGAUUCUCUUUCUGCCCUGUCUUGUUUGGCUUUUACCACGCCCAACAGUCUGUCCUAGGACACACUGCCAGCUCCCCCAACCUCCCCCAGCUCAGAGGUGCUCACAGCUGCUGCCCACAGGCCCUCACUCUUCUGUGAAAGUGACACCCACCCAAUCACCAAUCCAUCGCCCAUUGAUGGAUCCAUCCAUCCACCCACUUACCCAUCCCUCUCGGGGCUUCUGUUUCCAUGGUUACUCCAGGGCCUGAGUCUGCUCUGGGUUUGCUGAAAGAUUCUUCAUGCUAGGCUGUUUCCACAACAUUUUUACUAGUGGACUCAAACCCUCGAUGACUGAAGGGGUCCCAUCCUUCUAACAGUGCUCCCUACUUGCAGAUCACACAUGGCUUACAUGUCAGUCCAUCAAGGCAGUCAGCUUCCUGGAUUUAAAAUAAAAGCAAAAGCUCUGCAGUAUUUAAACAGAGAGGCACUCGGAAGUACCGUGUCUGGGAGGGGUGCCACAGGAGACCAAGUGGGAGUUCCCAGAGCACCUAUGCCAUUUGGCAAUGGGAUUUUUUCUUAGUAAAUAUGGGAAUAUGUGUGUGUAUGUGGAAGAGGAACUUACUGGAGGUCCUUCUCAUGGCUGUGGCAAUGUGCAUGUCCACUAGCUUUGUGAAAUGCAGAUGGAGUAUAAUUUUCCCCAAAUUGAUCUGUUCUACAUCAUUGAGUUUCAGCUAUUUGCAUUUUAAAGCCAGAAUCAAAUUUAGCUUAUGAUUAUUGUUGUGGAAAAUCAUUAUAAUCCUUUAAUUGUCAUGGCUCUUGAUGAUUUUUUAAAAAUUCACAAAUGUUAUUUAAUUCCAUAUUCACUAUGACAUAGGACAUUGAGCAGAGUAGGAACUAUCAAAUGUGUCUCCAACUUCAAACUGCCCCUCUUUUUCAGUUGGGAAAUUAAGGUUCUCAAUGGUUAGCUGAUGUGCCCCUGGCCAUACUGAUGUAAGUUAUAGAAGCAGGAACAGAAACCAGAGUGAAUGGCUCUGCCCUGUCCUGAGUUCUGUCCCAUCAAGAUGAGUCUUCAAAGUCUGUCAAGUGGGUGUGAUUAGCUUUGCCUUGCAGGCUCACUGUCUGUGUCAUGUAUAUGUAGGCUAGGUGGCACAGGGUGCCCAGUUGCUCCUGUCUCUUCCCAUCUCCAUGCAAUGGCAGGUGCCAUUUGGAGAUCAGAAAGCCUCCGGGGCUGAGAUGAGAGAACAAAAAGCCUUCCUCUUAACCAGCCUGAAAGCCAAGGGGCAACGCAUGUGCGUGUACAUACAUACACACACACAUACACACAAACACACCUGCCAGCAUGCACUAUGAAUAUACAUGCAUGUGUCAGGGGAAGAGCACCUCUCUGAAUUUCAAAGCUCCAGUAGGUUAAGAAAACAUCUCUUCUCAUCUGCUUCUGUUCCAUCUCUACAAUCAGCUCCAUAAAGGCUCCACCACCCAAGUACAUUCAUGACAACCCACUUUCCAGAUCUAAAUGAUACAACUCCUCCAAGUCCUUGGCUUUCAUUGUCAAUUGGUUCUUCCAUUUGCCUGCUGACUGAUGCACACAGUUUUUGGCAUCCUCCAGUCCUGAAGACUCUGCUGGGUGUAUCCUUCCUGUCCAGUGGUCGUUUUUAGCUGGAAGUUGGGUAAAAAGAUGUAGCAAUAGCCAGGAUAGUGUCUCUUUGUGCCUCUCACCCCCUUAGCAAGCUCAGCUGGAGUGGCACUCACAGGAUGUUCCCACUGUGGCCUC
RNAcentral lists this long non-coding RNA (2011 nucleotides) under Sus scrofa (pig). RNAcentral describes it as "lncRNA (ENSSSCG00040012839.1)". Lineage: Eukaryota; Metazoa; Chordata; Mammalia; Artiodactyla; Suidae. The record is from RNAcentral.